This is a non-coding RNA of Physcomitrium patens, 836 nucleotides long. Lineage: Eukaryota; Viridiplantae; Streptophyta; Bryopsida; Funariales; Funariaceae. The record is from RefSeq and is a predicted model, not a curated record.
UGUUGGGAACAAAGGUUGUUGAAUUCUGUAGCUAAAUUUGUCAGUUGCUUGCCGGACUCUUCCUUGGCAGUGUUUGAGUCACAUCUGCGCUUUUUUCGAAGCGCACGAUUGAGUCAAGAGGUUGUGGUUGAGUGAACGUGUCGGAGUUCUUUCAGAUAGCAGAAGUGUUCGAAUGGGAUGUAGGAGUUUUGGUUCCACAGGUUUGCUCAUUUAUUACAAUCGACGACGACGACGCUCAUUUAUUACGAGUCAUUGCAACCACACAAUCUAGAUUUCAGUGCAGGUCUGUACUUCUGAUUUGCAAUUCAUCAAAGAAGAUUGUGAUAUGUGACUUACUAAGCGGUUUAGUUUACGCCUUAUCCUCACAGCCCUUGAAACGACGUUCCUGGGCGCAAUUGGGGGAUUAAGAAAGUUGCGACGAGAAGUUUUCGCAGCAAAGUUAUGUUGGGAAGUUCACAAGCUGGAGCUUUACAGACCUCUCCUUACUUGGACCAGUAUUUAAAACACAGUAUUAUCAGUAUGUAAACACAGUAUUUGCAGUAUGUAAAGACAGUAUUUACAGUUUGUAUUUGAUCACUGUAGAUAGUAUUUGUAGUAUUUUUAUAGUUUUAUAGUUAUAUCAAAUAUCUUUAUAUUUUUAUAUUUAUAGUUUUAAAGUUUUAAAGUUUUAUAAGAUAUAGAAUUUUACAAGAAAUAAAAUCGUUUUAUCAUUUUUUUCAUUUUAUAGUUUUAUAUAUAGAAAUUUUUAUUUUUAUAUUUAAUUUUUUUUAUAGUUUUUAUCUUAAUUUAUCUACAUGUAGUUUUUAUAUUUAUAUUUAUAGUUUUUAUAGUUCUUA